CUGAUUACAACUGUUUGUCCCACCCUCGCGCUUCACUCUAAUCCUCUUUGAGAUAUUUAUAAACAAUAAAAGCAAAUAACCGUUUCCUUCAUGACUACUCACGUUUCAGAAAGUUUAGUAUUUUGUAAAUGCAUAAAAGUUUUCUGUGUUUUGCCAUGACCAAAGACUUCUUUCUUUAACAAAUAAUUCAUUUUUUAGACAAGUGAAGCCGUGAGGUUGAUGGCGGUCAGGAAGGGCAGCAGCUUUCAGCAGACAGUCCACAUUUAAAAAGCAGUUGUCAGCAACAUAAUCUCACAUGGAUUCAUUUUGGCGUAUAGAAAGGCAUAAUGACAAGUCCGAGGACAUGAACAGCUCCGAGGAGAAUGUCCUGGGUUGUCAUCUGGCAAUUACGGUUUAAUUCCUCACCCUUGUGACCCGCUUCCUUCCCCCCAACGUGAGGUUAACGUAUCCAUGAUGACCGUGAACGCCAGCGUGGUGCUGCGGAUCCGGAGAUCCAGCUCACCUUGUCUCGGGACGUGACUCAAUUAGUCCUUCAUUAGCCUUGCUCUGCAUUUUUUUGUGAUUGCCGAACCAAAUUGCUUUCUUAUGUGCUAUUUUCAUUUCUACUGGCUUGCGGAAAUGUAUCUGAUUUGGUGUCAGGGUUCAGAGAGAAUGCAGCGUGCUCUUUUGCCGAUAAAUCUCGGGUGGGUGCCAGAAUACGCAAGGCAGUUUCGCUCGACUGAAGAUCUGAGAUUCUAAUCUGACUUGAGCUGUUUGUGCAGUGCAAAGUUGCAUAUAAGGGCCAGUCUAAUUCCACACUAACGAUAUUGCAAAAAAAAAAAUUAAAAUACGCACAUUCUAUAGGCAUUUGAGGCUUUUGACAUUUGCAGUCCAUAUGUUUGCAUGUGGAAAAGGCAGUAUGUCCUUUCAUAUACAGGUUUCAUGUUGAUAGGUGCAGGAAAACAGUCACGUCUCCACCCAUGUCAUUUCUAUUUCCACAUCAUGAAAGCCUGAAUGAGGCUCAGCCGCAUUCAUUGGGGCUUUUCCCAUUUAAUUUUGAAGGCCUUCUGUGCAAGUGCAAAAGCGAUCGCUCCUCCAGUACAAGCACAUGUGUAAUGCAUCUCGUGCCCCGGGCCAUGUUUUCUUAGGGUGAUGGUGUCCUUUUAAUUCCCCCUCCUCUUUCCCUCUCUCUGUUUUGAUUUCUACUUAAAGUUUGAUGUCCGUGCCCUCCCUCUGGGGCAACAUUAGCUUGUAUGCUAAUAGGCCUAUGCAUAUUCUAUUAGCACUGUCAGUUCAGGAUGAGGGACAUAUGUGGUAAGAGCCGGUUUGGGGGCGAUAAACCCAGCAAAGGGAUUCUGGCUGCUCCUGCGCCAUCAGUCAUCUUCUUGCUCUGAGUGGCUCUGACUUACAGGCUUUAACAAUCUCUCCAUUUAGAGCUAGAUUUUAACUGCUGCUAUCUCAGUUCACUAGCUGGAUGUGUAUGUGUAAAUCAGUAGGAGAGAUAGGAAACUUAAAUACAAAAUGGAACACAUAUGUUGUAUGUUGCAUUAUAAGUUUAUAGGCAUAUUGGAGAGGGAGAAGGUUUGGUUUAUUAAUGUAAUAAAUUUCUUAGACAGAUGCACUGUACCAGUAAUUCCAGCACUGGGUUAUUUUUAGAGAUGCACCGAUACUAAAUUUCUCAGCUGAUACGGAUAACCGAUUAUUCAGAGUGAUAU
Molecule: long non-coding RNA, 1694 nt
Organism: Ictalurus punctatus (channel catfish)
Lineage: Eukaryota; Metazoa; Chordata; Actinopteri; Siluriformes; Ictaluridae
Exons: 3
Source: RefSeq, a predicted model, not a curated record